CAGCCGCCGCGGUAACACGUAGGGGGGCAAGCGUUAUCCGGAAUUACUGGGUGUAAAGGGAGCGUAGACGGUUAAACAAGUCUGAAGUGAAAUGCCGGGGCUCAACCCCGGAGCUGCUUUGGGAACUGUAGAACUGGAGUGUCGGAGGGGUAAGCGGAAUUCCCAGUGUAGCGGUGAAAUGCGUAGAUAUUGGGAGGAACACCGGCGGCGAAGGCGGCUUACUGGACGACAACUGACGUUGAGGCUCGAAGGCGUGGGUAGCAAACAGGAUUAGAUACCCGUGUAGUCCCUGUCUCUUAUA
Molecule: ribosomal RNA, 301 nt
Filed under: uncultured bacterium
Lineage: Bacteria
Description: partial 16S ribosomal RNA
Rfam family: Bacterial small subunit ribosomal RNA
Source: RNAcentral